ACCAAAAAAAAAAAAAAAAAGAAAAAAGUAGUAAAAAAAAGAUAAAAUAAAAGGAAAGAAGAAUUUUUUUUUAAAUUAAAUAGAUAUUGUAAGUAAAAGUCGUAACAAGGUCUCCGUUGGUGAACCAGCGGAGGGAUCAUUACCGAGUUUACAACUCCCAAACCCCUGUGAACAUACCUAUCGUUGCUUCGGCGGAUCCGCCCCGGCGCCCUCGGGCCCGGAUCAGGCGCCCGCCGGAGACCCCAAACUCUUGUAUUUCUUUAGUAUCUUCUGAGUAAACAAGCAAAUAAAUUAAAACUUUCAACAACGGAUCUCUUGGUUCUGGCAUCGAUGAAGAACGCAGCGAAAUGCGAUAAGUAAUGUGAAUUGCAGAAUUCCGUGAAUCAUCGAAUCUUUGAACGCACAUUGCGCCCGCCAGUAUUCUGGCGGGCAUGCCUGUUCGAGCGUCAUUUCAACCCUCAAGCCCCCGGGCUUGGUGUUGGGGCUCGGCCCGUCCCUCGCGGCGCGCCGUCCCCGAAAUCCAGUGGCGGUCACGCUGUACUCCUCUGCGUAGUAAUCCAACCUCGCAACGGGACAAAGCCUGGCCACGCCGUUAAACCCCCCACUUCUGAAGGUGACCUCGGAUCAGGUAGAAUCCCCAGUCU
Molecule: ribosomal RNA, 644 nt
Filed under: Oryza sativa (Asian cultivated rice)
Lineage: Eukaryota; Viridiplantae; Streptophyta; Magnoliopsida; Poales; Poaceae
Description: eukaryotic LSU rRNA
Rfam family: 5.8S ribosomal RNA (bases 296-449)
Source: RNAcentral